GUGAUGCUAACCUAUAUAUGAUUGGUUGCAUGCAUAAACCAAUCUACAUCCUUCCCACUUAAAGAGUAAGUAUAGUGAGCAUCCAUGCCAUUAAAGUCUUGUGCAUGUUAGUA
This is a long non-coding RNA of Amblyraja radiata (thorny skate), 113 nucleotides long. RefSeq lists it as uncharacterized. The transcript has 3 exons. The record is from RefSeq and is a predicted model, not a curated record. NCBI's taxonomy places the organism in Eukaryota, Metazoa, Chordata, Chondrichthyes, Rajiformes, Rajidae.